RNAcentral lists this ribosomal RNA (497 nucleotides) under uncultured bacterium. Its description in RNAcentral is "bacterial SSU rRNA". It matches the Rfam family "Bacterial small subunit ribosomal RNA", at positions 8 to 526 of the family's 1533-position model. The record is from RNAcentral.
AGAGUUUGAUCCUGGCUCAGGAUAAACGCUGGCGGCGUGCCUAACACAUGCAAGUCGAACGCUCUCUGGCAACAGAGGGAGUGGCGGACGGGUGAGUAACACAUGGGUGACCUAUCUUUCAGUGAGGAAUACCGGCGAGAAAUCGCCGACAAUACCGCAUAGGCUCUCUCUCCUCGAAGAGGGAAAGCAAAGUCGCAAGACGCUGGAAGCUGGGCCCGUGGCCGAUUAGUUAGUUGGUGGGGUAAGAGCUCACCAAGGCGACGAUCGGUAGCUGGUCUGAGAGGAUGGUCAGCCACACUGGGAUUGAGAACGGCCCAGACUCCUACGGGGGGCAGCAGUGAGGGAUCUUCGGCAAUGGGGGCAACCCUGACCGAGCAACGCCGCGUGCGGGACGACGCCUUUCGGGGUGUAAACCGCUUUUCUGGGGGACGAGGGAGUACGGACGGUACCCCAGGAAGAAGUCUCGGCUAACUACGUGCCAGCAGCCGCGGUAAUUC